This 892-nucleotide unclassified non-coding RNA is filed under the name uncultured cyanobacterium. RNAcentral describes it as "partial contains 16S ribosomal RNA and 16S-23S ribosomal RNA intergenic spacer". The stretch from base 1 to 262 matches the Rfam family "Bacterial small subunit ribosomal RNA", at positions 1274 to 1533 of the family's 1533-position model. The record is from RNAcentral. Lineage: Bacteria; Bacillati; Cyanobacteriota.
AGUUUGAUCCUGGCUCAGUUCAGAUCGUAGGCUGCAACUCGCCUACGUGAAGGAGGAAUCGCUAGUAAUCGCAGGUCAGCAUACUGCGGUGGAUACGUUCCCGGGCCUUGUACACACCGCCCGUCACACCAUGGAAGUUGGCCACGCCCGAAGUCGUUACUCCAACCCGCAAGGGAGGAGGAUGCCGAAGGUGGGGCUGAUGACUGGGGUGAAGUCGUAACAAGGUAGCCGUACCGGAAGGUGCGGCUGGAUCACCUCCUAACAGGGAGACAAACUGAUUGUGAUGUCUGAAUACUUUAUUUUCAGGCCAUGAUCCUGUCACUCUAGGUCGAUCGGUACCUCAACUGUGGAAGCGGAAUGGCAACAUGUCGGUGAAAACAGGUUCAGUUCCUAAACUUUGUCUAGGUCACACCCCAACGAUUUUUGUUGAGGACGUGUUGAAGCCUGAAAGAUGAAACGGUAGCGAUACUGAAUCAUCAAUCAGGUCAGACACAACUUUGACACGAUCGCGAGGUCGAACUCCUGGGCCAUUAGCUCAGGUGGUUAGAGCGCACCCCUGAUAAGGGUGAGGUCCCUGGUUCAAGUCCAGGAUGGCCCAUUCGUGUUUGGGGGUUUAGCUCAGUUGGUAGAGCGCCUGCUUUGCAAGCAGGAUGUCAGCGGUUCGAGUCCGCUAACCUCCAUUCCAAACUGAGGAGCGCCCUCACGGAACCAAAGGAGAGAUUUCUUUGGUGUGAUCUUGACGUCUUGUGACGAUUCCAGCCUGCUUUCAUUCCCUGAGUGGUUGAAAGCAUGCUGGAUUCCCUUGUCCGCAAGGAUAGGCGUUCAGCAAGAACCUUUGACAACUGCAUAGGAAAAGUCUGGGAAAAGAAAGCAUCUCAUAGACGCUGACUUU